UACGUAGGGUGCAAGCGUUGUCCGGAAUUAUUGGGCGUAAAGAGCUCGUAGGCGGUUUGUUGCGUCGGCUGUGAAAUCCCGAGGCUCAACCUCGGGUCUGCAGUCGAUACGAGCAAACUAGAGUGUUGCAGGGGAGACUGGAAUUCCUGGUGUAGCGGUGAAAUGCGCAGAUAUCAAGAGGAACACCAAUGGCGAAGGCAGAUCUCUGGGCCGUAACUGACGCUGAGGAGCGAAAGCAUGGGGAGCGAACAGG
RNAcentral lists this ribosomal RNA (253 nucleotides) under uncultured bacterium. RNAcentral's name for it is "partial 16S ribosomal RNA". It matches the Rfam family "Bacterial small subunit ribosomal RNA", at positions 524 to 776 of the family's 1533-position model. The record is from RNAcentral.